UAACGGAGCGUAAGCGACGUUCAACACAAAAAUCAGGCAGUGGAGCGUUUUGGGGUGGGGUGACUGCGUACCUUUUGUAUAAUGGGUCAGCGACUUAUAUUCUGUAGCAAGGUUAACCGCAUAGGGGAGCCGGAGGGAAACCGAGUCUUAAUUGGGCGUUAAGUUGCAGGGUAUAGACCCGAAACCCGGUGAUCUAGCCAUGGGCAGGUUGAAGGUUGGGUAACACUAACUGGAGGACCGAACCGACUAAUGUUGAAAAAUUAGCGGAUGACCUGUGGCUGGGGGUGAAAGGCCAAUCAAACCGGGAGAUAGCUGGUUCUCCCCGAAAGCUAUUUAGGUAGCGCCUCGUGAAUUCAUCUCCGGGGGUAGAGCACUGUUUCGGCCAGGGGGCCAUCCCGGCUUACCAAUCCGAUGCAAACUGCGAAUACCGGAGAAUGUUAUCACGGGAGACACACGGCGGGUGCUAACGUCCGUCGUGAAGAGGGAAACAACCCAGACCGCCAGCUAAGGUCCCAAAGUCAUGGUUAAGUGGGAAACGAUGUGGGAAGGCCCAGACAGCCAGGAUGUUGGCUUAGAAGCAGCCAUCAUUUAAAGAAAGCGUAAUAGCUCACUGGUCGAGUCGGCCUGCGCGGAAGAUGUAACGGGGCUAAACCAU
RNAcentral lists this ribosomal RNA (655 nucleotides) under Salmonella enterica subsp. houtenae. RNAcentral's name for it is "partial 23S ribosomal RNA". It matches the Rfam family "Bacterial large subunit ribosomal RNA", at positions 567 to 1190 of the family's 2925-position model. The record is from RNAcentral. Lineage: Bacteria; Pseudomonadati; Pseudomonadota; Gammaproteobacteria; Enterobacterales; Enterobacteriaceae.